ACAAUGGGGGAAACCCUGAUGCAGCGACGCCGCGUGGAGGAAGAAGGUCUUCGGAUUGUAAACUCCUGUCCCAGGGGACGAUAAUGACGGUACCCUGGGAGGAAGCACCGGCUAACUACGUGCCAGCAGCCGCGGUAAAACGUAGGGUGCAAGCGUUGUCCGGAAUUACUGGGUGUAAAGGGAGCGCAGGCGGAUUGGCAAGUUGGGAGUGAAAUCUAUGGGCUCAACCCAUAAAUUGCUUUCAAAACUGUCAGUCUUGAGUGGUGUAGAGGUAGGCGGAAUUCCCGGU
RNAcentral lists this ribosomal RNA (289 nucleotides) under uncultured Oscillospiraceae bacterium. RNAcentral describes it as "partial 16S ribosomal RNA". It matches the Rfam family "Bacterial small subunit ribosomal RNA", at positions 368 to 674 of the family's 1533-position model. The record is from RNAcentral. Lineage: Bacteria; Bacillati; Bacillota; Clostridia; Eubacteriales; Oscillospiraceae.